This 518-nucleotide ribosomal RNA is filed under the name Trigonotylus sp. WCW-2003. Its description in RNAcentral is "eukaryotic LSU rRNA". It matches the Rfam family "Eukaryotic large subunit ribosomal RNA", at positions 666 to 1138 of the family's 3401-position model. The record is from RNAcentral. Lineage: Eukaryota; Metazoa; Arthropoda; Insecta; Hemiptera; Miridae.
CCAAGGAGUUUAGCGUGUGCGCAAGUCAUUGGGUGUCAAAACCUAAAGGCGAAAUGAAAGUGAAGGAAACUUCAGUUUCUGAGGGAGGAUGAGUUCUGUCCUUUAUUGGGCUUGCUUCGCACUCCCGGGGCGUCUCCAUCUCAUUGCGAGAAGAGGCGCACCCAGAGCGCACACGCUGAUACCCGAAAGAUGGUGAACUAUGCCUGGCCAGGACGAAGCCAGGGGAAACCCUGGUGGAGGUCCGCAGCGAUUCUGACGUGCAAAUCGAUCGUCGGAGCUGGGUUUAGGGGCGAAAGACCAAUCGAACCAUCUAGUAGCUGGUUCCCUCUGAAGUUUCCCUCAGGAUAGCUUGCGCUCAAAUGAAACGAGUCUCAUCCGGUAGAGCGAAUGAUUAGAGGCCUUGGGGUCGAAACGACCUCAACCUAUUCUCAAACUCCAAAUAGAUGAGAACCCCGGCUUUCUUGAACGUUGUUUAUGAAGCCGGGGGCUUGGAUCAGAGUGCCAAGUGGGCCAAUUUU